CGAAACUGUCCAACUGAAGUCUGCAAUAAGGAGAUCGGUGGGACCUAUCAAACUACCUGCUGAAUGUCCCCUAUGGCACCUAUCGAACUAGCUGCUGAAUGUCGCCUCUGGCACCUAACAAACUACCUGCUUAAUAUCCUCUCUGGCACGUAAUGAACUACCUGCUGAAAAUCCCCUCUGGCACCAGGUGUGAUAAAAUCUGAAUGUUCCCUCUGGCACCUAAUGUGAUAAAAUCUGAAUGUUCCCUCUGGCACCUAGUGUGAUAUAUUCUGAAUGUUCCCUCUGACACCUAGUGUGAUAUAUUCUGAAUGUCCCCUCUGGCACCUAAUGUGAUAUAACCUGAAUGUCCCCUCUGGCACCUAGUGUGAUAUAUUCUGAACGUUCCCUCUGGCACCUAGUGUGAUAAAAUCUCUGCCAUUAAAUCUAAUACCUGCCCCUCUGGUGCUGUGCGUUGUGCGCCGAUUGUUUUCUUUGCUUGUCUCUGAAACUCGCCCUUUACAUUAUUAUCUGUUCUAGUAUUGUGUAGAUAUUUAAAGCUUGUCUGAGAUUUGUUUCAGGACAAAAUGCUAAAUGUGAUAUUUUAUUCUGCUCAGGAAUUCCCAUCUAAAGUACGUUUUCCAAAGGACAUAAAAUGAAUAAAACAUCAGUACUCGGCUUCCCAGACAGGCUCUGAAAUAUACCAAAAAGCAGCAUUAUACCCCAAUUUCCUAUCGGUAGCACCGUUUCCACACCUGAAUGAAAUGUUUUAGUGUAUUCACUAAGCAUUAAAUGAAAACCCGCUGCAGGAUGGCGGCCAAACAUCGCUCCCAGCUGACUCCAGUCGCAGUUUGCUUUUUUCAGACUAGUUUCUAAAUCACAGAAAUUCAGUGUUUAGUGAAUAAACUGUAACUGGGUUAUUGUUGUCGGGAAUUGAUGAGGAAAAUGCAAAUAUUAGACCAGAAUAGCUGAACCAGAAAUAUUCUCCUACGUGAUCCAGAUCGACUAGUUUAGCCUAGUAUUUGGUGUUCCCUUGUCAGUUCUCCACAAUUUCUGUUUCAGUAAAUAAUAAUCUCCAGAGUCCUCACAGUGAUCAGUCUGCGCCCAUCGGUAGAACACGGCCAAUUAAAAUAUCUGUUGUCUCUUAGUUUUUUGGUCCGGUGUCGCUGCAGGAUGGCAUUGUGAUGCAAAGUCCGCUCUGCCAAAGACCAUUGUAUUUCUGGAGUGCAGCCUGGAUUCUACCUGAUCCUGCGCAGCCUUUGUAAAACGUCUUGGCUCUUGGUGUGUAGUGGGUUGCAUGGCCAAAACAUUUAUUUUACUGCAGCGAGGCCUGGAUUUAGAGGAGACAUACUGCAGAAUUAUUUGAAUUUAUAUAGGGCCAACUUGUUCCGCAGCGCUUUACAAUUUUACAGAGGGGAUAUAAAAUAAUAUAGUUUGUGCCCGUAACCCAUUAUCCUUCCAGGAUUAGUACGGGACUUCGAACGGCAAUGAACUCUCCGCGCCUGCCGACUGUCAGAGGGGAUGUGUCAGAACGGAAAUAUCUGACCUACAUUUGACCAUAAAUCGUGUCCCAGUAGAGGGCCCGGUAUGGUUGUGACAGAGCGAGAUCCUCCGUAAUGUUAUAUUAUUUUUAUCACUCUAUGCUGUGUAAAAUCACACUGUGCAUCACCGUUUAACUGCACUAUAGCACCCCCUUGAGUACACAAAAUAAAUAUACAGCCUAUUAUACUGUGGAAAAAUAUAUCCACGUGAAUUAAAUAGACUUGUUGAAAAAUUUGUUUGAGAACGGUUAGACAGAAUCAAAAUGUUUUCAAUCCACUCUCGAACAGUCUUAUUCAACGAAUAUGAUUCUACCAGUAAAUUCUGGCCGAAGUGAUUCGUUCGGGUAGGAAAAAAAAAGGGUUUUCAUUUGGACAAACUGGUUCAAGCUCAUUUUUGCACAAGUUUAUUAAGUAAUGCAAAAUAACUGAAGUAUGUAUAUUUGUCUAUAAAUCUAACAAAAUUUGACUAUUUUCACAGUUCAGAGAUUAUUGUUUCAAUGGGAGGACUCCGUCC
This is a non-coding RNA of Pelobates cultripes (western spadefoot toad), 2031 nucleotides long. The record is from the annotation of a GenBank genome assembly. Lineage: Eukaryota; Metazoa; Chordata; Amphibia; Anura; Pelobatidae.